RNAcentral lists this signal recognition particle RNA (267 nucleotides) under Solirubrobacterales bacterium. Its description in RNAcentral is "signal recognition particle sRNA large type". It matches the Rfam family "Bacterial large signal recognition particle RNA". Rfam says of the family: The signal recognition particle (SRP) is a universally conserved ribonucleoprotein involved in the co-translational targeting of proteins to membranes. Archaeal SRP consists of a 7S RNA and homologues of the eukaryotic SRP19 and SRP54 proteins. Lineage: Bacteria; Bacillati; Actinomycetota; Thermoleophilia; Solirubrobacterales. The record is from RNAcentral.
CCGUGCUAGGCGGGGUGCUAGCGGUGCCCUGUACCCGCAAUCCGCUCUAGCGGGGCUGAAUUCCCUCUCGAGGGGUUGGAGGCCCGGGGUCAGCGCCCCCCUCGUGGCGGCGAUGGUCCGGUCCCUCGGCGAUGAAGGCCCGUGAACCAGGUCAGGUCCGGAAGGAAGCAGCCUUAAGCGGUCACCUCCAGGCGCAGGGGGAGCGCCGGACCGGAGCCACGAAGCGGCGGCCGCGCUCCGAGCCCGGCUUCGACGGAGGGUGCACGG